GACGAACGCUGGCGGCGUGCUUAACACAUGCAAGUCGAGCGGUAAGGCCCUUUCGGGGGUACACGAGCGGCGAACGGGUGAGUAACACGUGGGUGACCUGCCCUCAGCUCUGGGAUAAGCCUGGGAAACCGGGUCUAAUACCGGAUAUGACUCCAUGACGCAUGUUGUGGGGUGGAAAGCCUUGUGCGGCUGAGGAUGGGCCCGCGGCCUAUCAGCUUGUUGGUGGGGUGAUGGCCUACCAAGGCGACGACGGGUAGCCGGCCUGAGAGGGCGACCGGCCACACUGGGACUGAGACACGGCCCAGACUCCUACGGGAGGCAGCAGUGGGGAAUCUUGCGCAAUGGGCGAAAAGCCUGAACGCAGCGACGCCGCGUGAGGGAUG
Molecule: ribosomal RNA, 383 nt
Filed under: uncultured bacterium
Lineage: Bacteria
Description: bacterial SSU rRNA
Rfam family: Bacterial small subunit ribosomal RNA
Source: RNAcentral